CUUGAAGAAGACGGUGCCUAGGCAGUAGAAGACCCCGCCAGCCAUCAGUUCUGAGAGGCCAUCUGUGUUGGGCUGGUGUCCGGAAAAAGAAACAAGUCAGGAAGAUCAAUAUAUAUCAGUGAGGGAAGUUCAGCAGUGGAAUUGGCUGCCUAGGGAGGUGGUGAGCUCUCCCAGUCUUCAACAAACACAUAUCUGAUGCUGCAUUGAACAGGAACAAGGAACGGAUGCUUCCAGGUCCCCAUCCAACUGUAUGAGCUGUGAUUCCAUGAUGAUUCCAGCCCUGGCUGACCCUGGGCUCACCUCAAAACCACCUGCAGGUGGCAAGACCAAGAGGAGGAAACAACAGGAAAAACUGCUAACCGGGGGUGGAAAGAUAAAGCCGAAGGAACCUGAUCCCCUUUGUCCUAGCGAGUAAUCCACACCACCGUCCCACUGACGUCAUGGCUGAAUUUGGGCCCACAGGACAGAAGGGGAUGCCUUAUAUUUCGCACUUCAGCAAAACCUCUGCUAUGUCUUAUUUUU
Long non-coding RNA from Sphaerodactylus townsendi, 522 nucleotides. RefSeq lists it as uncharacterized. The record is from RefSeq and is a predicted model, not a curated record. NCBI's taxonomy places the organism in Eukaryota, Metazoa, Chordata, Lepidosauria, Squamata, Sphaerodactylidae. The transcript has 4 exons.